This is a long non-coding RNA of Gigantopelta aegis, 1273 nucleotides long. RefSeq lists it as uncharacterized. The record is from RefSeq and is a predicted model, not a curated record. Lineage: Eukaryota; Metazoa; Mollusca; Gastropoda; Neomphalida; Peltospiridae. The transcript is spliced from 2 exons.
AAUCUUUAAAAAAAAAAAAAUCUAGUAAGCGUUAGCGACCGAACUACUGGCUAAACGUAUCCCAAAACUCGUACACACAACGCCACAAAUGAGGUUACGACAAUGCAUCAUAACGGUUUCGGCUCCCAGAGGAAAUCCAAGAUGGCCACCAAUAAGGCUACAGGCCCGUAGCCAUGCAGCAUUUCGAGCGGAAGGGUUCGACUAGGUAUUUGCAGGAGCCUUAAAUUGGAUAUGAAGUUGUCUGAAGGCGUGGAGCACCCGAGUUCCAGGGGCAUGCUCAUCGAAAAUGUGAAAUCUCUGAAAGGCAAAAACGUGUUUUCCUGGUAUCUGGAACUUAAAAAUGGAUAUUUUAAAGCAAUGAUUUUCGACUAUGUUGUAGAUUGUAGUUUUGUUAUUACGGUUAUAUAUUUGUUUUGUCUUUAAGAUAAUGAAAUUCUAGCACACAAGAUGAGUUAAAUGUAUUGACAAUUGCUUAUUAUAAAGUGUGUAACAAAAAUGUAGGCCUACGUCCAUGAAUGUAGGCCUCCGAGAUAGGGGGCGGGGUGGAGCAAAACCUCAAAUUCGGGAAAACAUUAUGGAGAUAUUCGGGCAAAAGUGUAACCUGAGACCUUGUUACCAUUUAUUUCCAUCAUUGCACCUGCAAAUUUAGUUGUAAUCCAUAUACAAAUGCGUAAUGAUUCGUUUGCAACCCUAUAUAGCUGCUUGGUAGUAAUUGUAAUAUGAAUAAAUGUUGUUAUCAAUAGAUGCCUCAGAACUACAUGCAUGAUCAUUUCCUUUAAUAAUGAACAUAUUUAUAAAAACAUUACUUUCUUAAAAAAUUAUCAUCAUGAAUCACCGCCAACAUAGGCAGCCCCUGUUAAGAGUACAGGUGUAGCCUAGUAAUCCUCAAACGUUUUCAGCAAAAGGUACUGCAUAAGGUAUUGUAUCCCAUUUCAUGUUUGUCACUGAUACGUCAUAUCAUCAAAAUGGCAUCUACAUGUUGGCCGGCAAACGUUUUGAAAUACAUAGAAAUAACCUACAUCAUAAAGCAACUUCUAAGCCAAAAUGACGUAAGAAUAUUGCUUGAUAUAUGUGGAAGCCAAUGUCGAUUUGAAUCUCUAUAUAGCCUAAAGAUCAAGACAUGAACAGGAUUAUUUUCUGUUGCUAACCUUUUUUUCCCCUUCUAACUUUGGUUGAUAAAUCAAUGGAAGGUGAACUGCUGACAUUAUCAUGUAAUAUCGAAGUCUACGUGGCCAUCAAUAUAGCAAAAAUACAAUUAAAUAAUUUUGCUACA